GCGGGUGUAGUUUAGUGGUAGAAUGACUGCCUUCCAAGCAGUAGACGGGGGUUCGAUUCCCCCUACCCGCA
This 71-nucleotide transfer RNA is filed under the name Parcubacteria group bacterium. RNAcentral's name for it is "tRNA-Gly". It matches the Rfam family "tRNA". From Rfam's summary of the family: Transfer RNA (tRNA) molecules are approximately 80 nucleotides in length. The record is from RNAcentral.